AUGGCGAAGCUGUACGUGCAGGCGGUGCCCCCGCCGGAUCUGAACAAGAACACUGAGUGGUUCAUGUACCCGGGGGUCUGGACCACCUACAUCUUCAUCCUCUUCAUUACAUACCACUUCUUCCACUGGAAGAAGGGAACUCCAUUUGCUGAUGAUCAGGGGAUGUAUAAUCGAUUGACCUGGUGGGAGCAAAUGGACAACGGCAAGCAGCUUACUCGCAACAGAAAAUUUCUUGUUGUGGUUCCUGUAGUCCUGUACUUGAUCGCUUCGCACACCACAGACUAUCAACAUCCUAUGCUCUUUUUGAACACCAUUGCAGUCACAGUACUGGUUGUUGCGAAACUACCGAACAUGCACAAGGUCCGGAUUUUUGGAAUCAAUGCCGGUAACUAA
This 393-nucleotide ribosomal RNA is filed under the name Triticum aestivum (bread wheat). RNAcentral describes it as "partial small subunit ribosomal RNA". The record is from RNAcentral. Lineage: Eukaryota; Viridiplantae; Streptophyta; Magnoliopsida; Poales; Poaceae.